GAAGGACUGAAGGCCUACAAACAAACAAGUUGCUAUAUAAACUCUAUAAGUCCAUUUACAAACAAAACAAAACGAAACCUUGCAAGCAAGCAGGCUUUUUCUUUGUUUCCUUUCUUUUUACUCUCUCUCUCUCACUCACCGAGUAUUUCUGUUCUUUCUUGGUUCAGUCCUAGACCUAUCUUUGUGUUCUUCAUUCUGUUAUGUUUGCUUGAUCUCCCAUGUAAACAUUACCCAACUCCGAGAAAAGCUCUCCUGAGUAGACUAAAAGCAGCAAUGACAAGCAACACCACUACCACCUUCUUUGAUGCUAAGAUCCUGAGAUUCACCCUGAUGCCAUGCUCUCUCAUGAACCGCACACCAGCUCCACGUAACAUAAGAAGCCAGGAAAUGAAAGAGCACAACACAACUUUGAUCAUUUCCAUGGGUCCACAGACACUCCUUGCAUCACUGGACACAUCAACAUAUGACCAAACAGGACUCUCUUGGCUGCUCUCGACUUGGUUCAACCCAAGACUCUCGUUCAACCAGCCUGAUAGCUUAACAAGCACCUUUGCCAGCCACCCAAUUUCAUCAUCUGAGAUGGGCCGCUUCAUCCAAUCACCCUUGUAUUUAAUAUCGAUCAUUGCUCUAUUUGUAAAACUCCUGGGUUUAAAGAUUUCAUCCCGCAGGUACUCAAAUUGUACAGUCUCUGGAGUAGUCAUGGACUUCAUAAUAGGGCCACCAAACAACUGGCACAGCUCCGAUUUCAUUCUAUCCAAACGCUGGAGGUUUGGAGAAAGAUUUUCUCCGCCAAUUGAUUGCAGUUCAGAUUCUGCUCGCAAUACAAACAGCUGAAGCAACUUUUGUCCACCAUCUUCACCAUCACUGAAGAGUCGUAAAUCUUUGUUCCAGUUCUCGUGCAAAAAAGAACCAUCAGCAUCAGUCUCAGAUAGGCCAUCCUCCCAGUCCUGUAAUUGCUCACGAAUAGCAGGAACAUAUCUAUGCAAAGCAUUGAGCAUUGAUUUAGAUGAUCCAGC
This 1016-nucleotide unclassified non-coding RNA is filed under the name Hevea brasiliensis (rubber tree). The record is from RNAcentral. Lineage: Eukaryota; Viridiplantae; Streptophyta; Magnoliopsida; Malpighiales; Euphorbiaceae.